Molecule: ribosomal RNA, 164 nt
Filed under: Brachypodium phoenicoides
Lineage: Eukaryota; Viridiplantae; Streptophyta; Magnoliopsida; Poales; Poaceae
Description: 5.8S ribosomal RNA
Rfam family: 5.8S ribosomal RNA
About the family: 5.8S ribosomal RNA (5.8S rRNA) is a component of the large subunit of the eukaryotic ribosome.
Source: RNAcentral
GACACGGCUCUCGGCAACGGAUAUCUCGGCUCUCGCAUCGAUGAAGAACGUAGCGAAAUGCGAUACCUGGUGUGAAUUGCAGAAUCCCGCGAACCAUCGAGUCUUUGAACGCAAGUUGCGCCCGAGGCCACCCGGUCGAGGGCACGCCUGCCUGGGCGUCACGC